GUAAAAAUAAGAAUUUAUCGAACAGACCUGUUUUGACAGGAGCUGCCGUGUGGCGGCAA
Molecule: non-coding RNA, 59 nt
Submitted as: unclassified sequences
Source: Rfam